GCCGGGUGUUGUGGCGGGCGCCUGUGGUCCCAGCUACGUGGGAGGUGGAGGCAGGAGACUUGCUUGAGCCCAGGAGUUGGAGGUUGCUGGGAGUUGUGAUGCCACAGCACUCUACCCAGGGUGACAGAUUGAGGCUCUGUCUCAAAAGAGUGAUACUACCUGAGCUUGAGCUUGAGACCGCACUUGCAUUCUUUUUCUUCUUGUUUUUGAGACAGAGUCUCACUCUGUUGCCCUGGGUAGAGUGCUGUGGUGUCAUAGCUCACAGCAACCUCAAACUCUUGGGCUCAAGAGAUCCUCUUGCCUCAG
This 306-nucleotide non-coding RNA is filed under the name Otolemur garnettii (small-eared galago). Lineage: Eukaryota; Metazoa; Chordata; Mammalia; Primates; Galagidae. The record is from Rfam by way of RNAcentral.